UACGUAGGGGGCAAGCGUUGUCCGGAAUUAUUGGGCGUAAAGAGCGUGUAGGCGGCCAGAUAAGUCCGCUGUGAAAUCUCGAGGCUCAACUUCGAGCUGUCGGUGGAAACUGUCUGGCUAGAGUCCGGAAGAGGAGAAUGGAAUUCCUGGUGUAGCGGUGAAAUGCGCAGAUAUCAGGAGGAACACCAAUUGCGAAGGCAGCUCGCUGGGACGUUACUGACGCUGAGACGCGAAAGCGUGGGGAGCAAACAGG
RNAcentral lists this ribosomal RNA (253 nucleotides) under uncultured bacterium. RNAcentral describes it as "partial 16S ribosomal RNA". It matches the Rfam family "Bacterial small subunit ribosomal RNA", at positions 524 to 776 of the family's 1533-position model. The record is from RNAcentral.